This 497-nucleotide ribosomal RNA is filed under the name uncultured bacterium. RNAcentral's name for it is "partial 16S ribosomal RNA". It matches the Rfam family "Bacterial small subunit ribosomal RNA", at positions 28 to 507 of the family's 1533-position model. The record is from RNAcentral.
GAUGAACGCUGGCGGCGUGCCUAAUACAUGCAAGUCGAGCGAACGGACGAGAAUCUUGCUUCGUGGAUGUUAGCGGCGGGCGGGAGAGUAACACGUGGAUAACCUACCUAUAAUAGGGGGAAAAUUUGGGGAAUGGGGAGCUAAUAGCAGAGGAUAUCUUGAACCGCAGGGGGCAAAGGUGAAAGACGGUGUUGGUGGAACGAAUAGAUGGAUCCGCGCUGGAUUAGGUAGUUGGGAAGGUAACGGCUUAGGAAGGGAAGGAUGCAUAGACGACCGCUGAGGCUGAUAGGCCGCACUGGAACUGGACCACGGUCAAGACUACUACGAGAGGCACCAGUAGGGAAUGUUCCGCAAUGGGCGAAAACCUGACGGAGCAACGCGGCGUGAGUUAUGACGACGCUCGGAUCGUAAAACUCUGUUAUUAGGGAAGAACCUAUGUGUACUUAAAUGUACAGAUCUUGACGGUACUUAGUAAGAAAGCCACGGCUAACUACGUG